CACACACACACACACACACACGGUAGGUCUACAUUCACACACACACACACACACACACACACACACACACACGGUAGGUCUACAUUCACACACACACACACACACACACACACACACACACACACACACACACACACACACACACACACACACACACACACACACACGGUAGGUCUACAUUCACACACACACACACGGUAGGUCUACAUUCACACACACACACACACACACAUUCGGUAGGUCUACAUUCACACACACACACACACACACACACACACACACACACACACACACACACACACGGUAGGUCUACAUUCACAAAAACACACAAUAACAAGUAUUAUAGAAAACAACUCACAUGUUUUGUCUAGAUAAAAUUUUGAAUAAUUCUUAUGACAGAUUUAGCUAUUUAAACGAUUUAGCUCAUCUUAUGUUUGAAGCGCUGAUUAGCGGAAGUUUUAGGCCUUCUGAAGUUUUAGGUCUUCUGAAGUUUUAGGUCUUCUUGAUCAUGUUGAAUGUAGUCUUAUCUAGCAAAUACUUGGGGGUUGAGCUCCAACAUUGAGAGAGAGACAUAAUGAUAUAUAAGCAGCAUGAACUACAUGUUGUACUCUUCAGCUCUUAUAGAUGGCAUUUAAAGUGGAACUGACAGCAUUUUAGCAACAUGAAAUCUAAUUCAAAUCAGUUCAUAUACGCCACCAGGAAGAAUGUGACGCUUUAAAAAAAGAUACAAAUCUAUCAAGCGAACGCUUAGAUAUGAUCAUUUUCAUGUUUUCAUAAAUUCUUAAAAUGUUUGGUAAUUACAUACAGUAAGGCAUUUGUAAAAAAAAAAAUCUAUAGCAAUAUAGAGAGUUGAAAACGGUUUGAACAAUUCAUAGACACUGCAGUAAAUAAAACCUAAUUAAAACAUCUGUAGAACAAAAAGCCACAAAAUACACCUGAAUGGAUUUCUACAAAUAUGUCAAUACCACAGGAGUCCUCUUACAUUUGGGAACUUUACAGUCCUAAUGAUCAAACAACCAUAAAAAGGCAGGCUCUCUUUCCCUAUAUGCACAUCAACAACAAGAUCAAUAGCUAAUGCCAGCCAGUGCAAGGUCAGCUACAAUCUAACGAAGGAACAUUAGAUAAACCCUCUCAAGCUUUUUCAACUAGUUGACCGUCAAAAUUGCACUGAGAAACGAUGGGGAAUAGUAAGUAGCCUGCUCGUCCUUCUGCAGCUUGCCUGCCAGUGCAUUCUUGUCCCAACUAAGCACCCAAGCUAACUGGCUAAAGUGGGCUAGCUAGCUACAUCCAGAGACAAAUGAGAGAACACCUUACUCUGACCAUUUGUACUCGCCCUAGCAGAGCUGGUUGCUAGGCUGUUUGUUUACAUGAUAUCUGGAGCGUUCGUAACUAAGUAUUACUUUUUUUGCCCAUGUUUACUGACACUGCAUAUAUUCAGCCGGUGUUGUGCGUUCAUAAAUGAAUCAGCUAUUCUGUGCUCUGGCACACUCAGACAAGAGGGCUCUGAAAUCAGAGGAGAUAGCCAGAGUGAAUUAGCGAACGACAGAGAUAUGCUAACUGGAUAAUACGUCGCUCAAGUUCAGGAUAGCUAGCUAGCAAAGCGAUUCACAUUCUUGCUAGCUAACUAAAUGACACCUGCAUCUCUAGCUGUGUAGCCACCGAAAACAAUAUGAGGGGCAAAGGUCACUCUUACUCACCCGCUCCUCCAAUGACAUGACAUCCUCCUAGCAGCUAGCUAGCGUUAGGCUCUGUGUUUUUUAGCUUGCUACAUCAAUAGAUACGCUAGCCUAUUAGCCACGUUAUGACUGACUUGUGAUCAUUGCCGUUGCGAGUGUGAUUGUAUUGACAUUCCCGGUUAGUUAGUUAGUUACAAUCAUCCGUUUUUGAAACUGAAGGCAGCAAACAAUGUACCAAGAAAUGCAUUAGUGAAUUAUAUUAAUCGUGCAUUGAAAUGCAUCCAUCUAUUCUGCCAACGAUGCCUUAGUGUACGUCAUGGAACGCUGAGUCAAAUAGAACCUAUUUUUAAAACCUCUUAUCAAGUUGGUUUUGUAGCAUAAACUGGGAAUUUGAUAUUUUUGACUGAUAUUAUGAUUCUGUUUGUUUCAUAUCUACAAAGUAGUUCAAACGCUGUCAGUUCCACUUUAGCUUAAUUUAGCUUCUGAUGAAAGUUGAAUGUGUAGUACUGAGCUGUAAAUGGCUGUAUAUAUGUACAUACGGCUGUGUAAAUGGCUGUAUACUGUAUAUGUACAUAGGGCUGUGAAUAGACAAGGUGAAUUGCCCUGUUUUUAUUGAAGCUCUUAGAUGUGUACAGAGGAUGGUCGUGACCUGGAAAGGAAAGGGACAAGGUCAGAGUCAGGGUCAGAGUCAGGGACAGGGUCAGAGUCAGGGACAGGGAAAGGGACAGGGUCAGGGACAGGGUCAGAGUCAGGGACAGGGUCAGAGUCAGGGACAGAGUCAGGGACAGGGUCAGAGUCAGGGACAGGGUCAGAGUCAGGGACAGGGUCAGAGACAGGGUCAGAGUCAGGGACAGGGUCAGAGUCAGGGACAGGGUCAGAGUCAGGGACAGGGUCAGAGUCAGGGACAGGGUCAGAGUCAGGGACAGGGAAAGGGUCAGGGACAGUGUCAGGAUGUGGGUUUGCCAGUAAUUUUCAGUGCCUCUUUUGACACACUUAAAUCAGUCCCAGACAUUUUGGGGGAGGUGUGCUUUGUCCUGUGACUUCCUCUCUCCUGGCGUGUCACAUAUCUAGGAUCAGUUGACCCUCCCAGCUACACUGACCAUUGAUCAGUGGCAUCCUACUCCAUGUGGCAUUUAUCUCAAACCAUGACCUCCCUUCCUGCCUUGUGACGAUUGCCUAGCAACAGACAAAGGCUAAGUUAGUAGAAUAAUCAACUCGGCUCUUUUGCCCGCACAGAUAAAGCACUACAGAUACACUAUUCAGAGUUUUCAUUCAAGUGUUGUUACUUAUUGUUACACACACACACCUGCACACACACACACACACACACACACACACACACACAUAAACACACACGUUCCUGCUCCUCCAAGGAGAUCAUGCAGACAGACCCUAUCAUCUCUGGGUCGUCUGGGUAAAUGCUGUAUUCACAGUCCUCCUAAAGGGAACUAACUACAUUACCACAGGAAUACAAAAUCAUGACUGACCAUCUCAAUCUUAUUCCUUCAGCUGCAUUUCAAGUGUUUUCUACUUCUGUUUUAUUUAGUUAUUUAAAUAUAUCUUUUUGAUUAGUGUCUGACAUAGCUGCUUGACCGUGGAAACACAGUUUGGGUUUUGCAGUUUACAUUUUAUAAAGGGUGGAUAAUAAUGAUGAUUAUGAUUCAUUUGAACUAUUAUUUUAUAUUCUGUACGUUGCUGUUUUUGCGGUUCAGAACCAGAAUCUGGAUUUGAUUCUUUUUAUUGGUUGAACAUGUCCAUGUUUUAUCUGUUCUGUUUCAUUAUGACACGUUAUAAACUGUUGCAGAAAGGAAAACAACUCGUCUUCUCUACGUUGUAGAUUGUAUUUAUUAUGAUAAUUACAUUUUUCUGUAUGAUAUUUUUACUCUUGAAAUA
Oncorhynchus tshawytscha (Chinook salmon) is the source of this 3569-nucleotide long non-coding RNA. NCBI's taxonomy places the organism in Eukaryota, Metazoa, Chordata, Actinopteri, Salmoniformes, Salmonidae. The record is from Ensembl.